Molecule: ribosomal RNA, 451 nt
Filed under: uncultured bacterium
Lineage: Bacteria
Description: partial 16S ribosomal RNA
Rfam family: Bacterial small subunit ribosomal RNA
Source: RNAcentral
AACGAACGCUGGCGGCAGGCCUAAAACAUGCAAGUCGAACGGGUGUAGCAAUACACCAGUGGCGCACGGGUGAGUAACGCGUGGGAACGUGCCCUUCAGUACGGGACGACGUCGGGAAACUGACGCUAAUACCGUAUAAUAUCUCCGGAUCAAAGAUUUAUCGCUGAAGGAGCGGCCCGCGUCUGAUUAGCUAGUUGGUGGGGUAAUGGCCUACCAAGGCUACGAUCAGUAGCUGGUCUGAGAGGAUGAUCAGCCACACUGGGACUGAGACACGGCCCAGACUCCUACGGGAGGCAGCAGUUAGGAAUAUUGGACAAUGGGCGAAAGCCUGAUCCAGCCAUGCCGCGUGUGUGAUGAAGGCCCUAGGGUUGUAAAGCACUUUCGUUGGGGAUGAUAAUGACCGUACCCAAAGAAGAAGCCACGGCUAAAUUCGUGCCAGCCGCCGCAGUAA